UACGAAGGGGGCUAGCGUUGUUCGGAAUUACUGGGCGUAAAGGGCGCGUAGGCGGCCUCGUCCGUCCGGCGUGAAAUGCCUGGGCUUAACCUAGGAAUUGCGCUCGAUACAGCGAGGCUAGAGUGUGGGAGAGGUUGGUGGAAUUCCCAGUGUAGAGGUGAAAUUCGUAGAUAUUGGGAAGAACACCGGUGGCGAAGGCGGCCAACUGGACCACAACUGACGCUGAGGCGCGAAAGCGUGGGGAGCAAACAGG
This 253-nucleotide ribosomal RNA is filed under the name uncultured bacterium. RNAcentral's name for it is "partial 16S ribosomal RNA". It matches the Rfam family "Bacterial small subunit ribosomal RNA", at positions 524 to 776 of the family's 1533-position model. The record is from RNAcentral.